GGCUGGUUAGCUCAGUCAGUUGAGCAUGGCGCUAACAAUGCCAAAGUUAUGGGUUCGAUUCCCAUUCAGUCC
Apaloderma vittatum (bar-tailed trogon) is the source of this 72-nucleotide non-coding RNA. Lineage: Eukaryota; Metazoa; Chordata; Aves; Trogoniformes; Trogonidae. The record is from Rfam.